This is a long non-coding RNA of Pecten maximus, 1535 nucleotides long. RefSeq lists it as uncharacterized. The transcript has 3 exons. Lineage: Eukaryota; Metazoa; Mollusca; Bivalvia; Pectinida; Pectinidae. The record is from RefSeq and is a predicted model, not a curated record.
UCCUUCUCUAGUGAAACUCAUCACUCGCACACUUAAAACAUGGUCGCCGCUUUGAGACGGAAGAGUAGAAGAUCUUCCAGAAGCAGAAGAGCUUCAAAUCGAGUUACCGGAAGAUAUCUUCUAGAAUCAGAAGAGUGCAAAUCGAACGGGGCUCUGGCCGGGGAAUCAGGGGAGACAACUUGUUCGUGUAGUGUUGACUCUAUAGCCAUCAUUAGAUCUACUAUAUACAUAGAAUAUUACGGUAAUGGAUUGAACCCAAAUACGUCCAGAUGUGGUAGUGAAGUGCACGUGGUAGCUAUCGAUGAUAGAGUUGAACACAGAAAAGGACACUAUCAAUGCAACACGUCUCCGGUGGUACCCAUUUAUAUAAAAUAUGUCCGGUUGUGGAAGUGAAGUGGUAGCCGUCGAGAAUAGAGGUAGAGAAGGACACUAGGCCUAUCAAUGUAAUACGUCCCCGGUGGCACCCGUAUAUGCGAGACCAGUGACUAUAACAUGGAAUGGGAUACUUGGUGGGGAUUCAAAGUACUGUCUCAAUGUUACAGAAUCUGUCUGCGUUUUCGCAGGUCCUCGCUUGCGGCGUUCUGCCUUUUUGUAUUGACUGUAACCCUCGCCGUUGCAUUGUGAGAAUAAUUUUCAGAAAAAACUUGGUCCGGCAGCCACAGUUAUUAUUUUUGGAAAUUCCCCGUAUACUUCCAUAAAUACACAUUUUCUUUCAGUUUCUGAUUCACGAUAACCUGUUGGGUAUGUAUCAAGUUCUAAAACUGUAAAAAGCUCAAAAUAUAAACAUUGAGAUAUAUGUUUCUUCGUGAGUAUGUGGCUUUAAGGCAUUUCAACCAGUUACUAAGUUAAGUUUGAUGGAAAUCUCUCAGACUAGUUAAAGCCACAUACUCCCAAACAACCUAAAAUUUUAGCUGCACACAUGUAUUAAUGGCAAUCCAAGAUGCUCAUUCACGCUCUCUUAACAUUAAAAUGACCACUGGCAUGGACGCUUGACCGAGGGAGUCAUUGAGACAUCAGAUUUCAGAUUUUCAGAUUUUAUUUUUAGUCACCCAGACACAUUGAUAUGUGUAACAUGGAUUACAUCAUGAAACAACACAUGGCAAGAUGGACAGUAGAACAGUGUAGAUUAUUUAGAAUUAAUUUUAGACCAUAAUUAUAGAAUAUGCAUGUGUAUUAUAUAUCUAAAGAUAUAAAUCCAUCGCAUGGACCUAGGCCUAAAUUCUAUAAUUUUAAAGCUUCAACGUUGUAUAUUGUGACGUCCGCAUUCGGAAUAUAUAAUAUCCAAUAGAAAAUCAGCCGGAAAGUGUAAUAUGAUAUGACUUGAGUUUAGGCCUGGAUGCAUUGUUGGUCCUGUCCUGAGGCAAGUGCCUGUGAUCUGCUUUAUCUUAAUCAUCACCAAUAAUCAUAAAUGGAUAAGUCGAUACAUCAACUUACCACAAGAUGUGAAAAAUGCGACGAAGAUUUGCACGAAAGGGGCCAAAAUACAUGAGUGUAUGAUAGCUCAGGAAGACAAGUGGAGUAUUCCGAUAUCGGGG